This 109-nucleotide ribosomal RNA is filed under the name Dasypus novemcinctus (nine-banded armadillo). Lineage: Eukaryota; Metazoa; Chordata; Mammalia; Cingulata; Dasypodidae. The record is from RNAcentral.
GCUAAUCUAUAACACCUGAAUGCGCCUGAUCUCAUCUGAUCUCAGAAGCUAAGCAGGGUCGGGCCUGGUUAGUACUUGGAUGGGACACCAAAAAUACUUCGUAGUACCU